RNAcentral lists this ribosomal RNA (855 nucleotides) under uncultured euryarchaeote. RNAcentral describes it as "bacterial SSU rRNA". It matches the Rfam family "Archaeal small subunit ribosomal RNA", at positions 62 to 929 of the family's 1478-position model. The record is from RNAcentral. Lineage: Archaea; Methanobacteriati; Methanobacteriota.
AAGGUUUCUUCGAAACCUUGGUCGGACUGCUCAAUAACACGUGAUUACCUUUCCUUGUUUGCAAUAACCCCGGGAAACUGGGGAUAAUACCGGAUACAUCAUGGAGCUGGAAUGCACCUGAUCCGAAGCUCCGGCGUACAAGGAUGGAUCUGCGGCCUAUCAGUAUAAUGGCUGUACGUACCUACUACCCACGAGGGUACGGGUUGUGACAUCACAGCCCGGAGAUGAUUCUGAGACACGAAUCCAAGCCCUAAGGGUGCAGCAGGCGCAAACCUUUACAAUGUGCGAAAGCUGAUAAGGGAACUCCGAGUGCCCAGCAUCUAAUUGCUGCUGUCCUUGUGCCUAAAACGCACAAGAAUAGCAAGGGCCGGGCAAGAACCGGUGCCAGCCGCCGCGGUAACACGGCGGCCCGAGUGGUAGCCGCUAUUAUUGGGUCUAAAGGGUCCGUAGCCGGUUCGGUAAGUCCUCUGGGAAAAUCUGGUUGCUUAACAAAUCAGAACUGCAAGGGGAUACUGUCGAACUUGAGACCGGGAGAGGUAAGAGGUACUUUCAGGGGUAGGAGUGAAAUCUUGUAAUCCCUGGGGGACCAUCUGUGGCGAAGGCGUCUUACCAGAACGGGUCUGACGGUGAGGGACGAAAGCUGGGGGCGCAAACCGGAUUAGAUACCCGGGUAGUCCCAGCCGUAAACGAUGCUCGCUAUGUGUCAGGUACGGUGUGACCGUAUCUGGUGCCGUAGGAAGCCGUGAAGCGAGCCACCUGGGAAGUACGGCCGCAAGGCUGAAACUUAAAGGAAUUGGCGGGGGAGCACUACAACGGAGCCUGCGGUUUAAUUUGGAUUCAACGCCCGAAAGCCGA